UACAGAGGUCCCAAGCGUUGUUCGGAUUCACUGGGCGUAAAGGGUGCGUAGGCGGUCGGGUAAGUCUGACGUGAAAUCUUCAAGCUCAACUUGGAAACUGCGUCGGAUACUAUUCGGCUAGAGGAAUGGAGGGGAGACUGGAAUACUUGGUGUAGCAGUGAAAUGCGUAGAUAUCAAGUGGAACACCAGUGGCGAAGGCGGCUCACUGGUCCAUUACUGACGCUGAGGUGCGAAAGCGUGGGGAGCAAACAGG
This 253-nucleotide ribosomal RNA is filed under the name uncultured bacterium. Its description in RNAcentral is "partial 16S ribosomal RNA". It matches the Rfam family "Bacterial small subunit ribosomal RNA", at positions 524 to 776 of the family's 1533-position model. The record is from RNAcentral.